AUUUAAGUAGUUUAAAAAUUAAAAUAAUGGGUUGUGGAUCCGUGGAUGUAGUAAUACCUUAAAUU
RNAcentral lists this transfer RNA (65 nucleotides) under Phyllomimus sp. ZJZ-2017. Its description in RNAcentral is "tRNA-His". It matches the Rfam family "tRNA". Rfam says of the family: Transfer RNA (tRNA) molecules are approximately 80 nucleotides in length. Their secondary structure includes four short double-helical elements and three loops (D, anti-codon, and T loops). Lineage: Eukaryota; Metazoa; Arthropoda; Insecta; Orthoptera; Tettigoniidae. The record is from RNAcentral.